RNAcentral lists this ribosomal RNA (242 nucleotides) under uncultured bacterium. RNAcentral's name for it is "partial 16S ribosomal RNA". It matches the Rfam family "Bacterial small subunit ribosomal RNA", at positions 89 to 334 of the family's 1533-position model. The record is from RNAcentral.
CACCUAGCGGCGAACGGGUGAGUAACACGUGGGCAACCUGCCCUCAGCUCUGGGAUAACCCCGGAAACGGGAGCUAAUACCGGAUAUGACCUCUUUGGACAUCCUUAGAGGUGGAAAGAAUUUCGGCUGAGGAUGGGCCCGCGGCCUAUCAGCUUGUUGGUGGGGUAAUGGCCUACCAAGGCGACGACGGGUAGCCGGCCUGAGAGGGCGACCGGCCACACUGGGACUGAGACACGGCCCAG